RNAcentral lists this ribosomal RNA (970 nucleotides) under Acerocnema macrocera. RNAcentral's name for it is "eukaryotic LSU rRNA". It matches the Rfam family "Eukaryotic large subunit ribosomal RNA", at positions 122 to 916 of the family's 3401-position model. The record is from RNAcentral. Lineage: Eukaryota; Metazoa; Arthropoda; Insecta; Diptera; Scathophagidae.
UGUCUUUCUGGCAAAUGUGAGAUGCAGUGUAUGGAAUGUCAAAUUUCUAGUAUGAGAAAUUAACGAUUUAAGUCCUUCUUAAAUGAGGCCAUUUACCCAAAGAGGGUGCCAGGCCCGUAUAACGUUAAUGAUUACUAGAUGACAUUUCCAAAGAGUCGUGUUGCUUGAUAGUGCAGCACUAAGUGGGUGGUAAACUCCAUCUAAAACUAAAUAUAACCAUGAGACCGAUAGUAAACAAGUACCGUGAGGGAAAGUUGAAAAGAACUCUGAAUAGAGAGUUAAAUAGUACGUGAAACUGCUUAGAGGUUAAGCCCGAUGAACCUGAAUAUCCAUUAUGGAAAAUUCAUCAUUAUGAUUUUAAUGUUUAUAAUAUUAAAUUAAUGGUGUGCAUUUUUUCCAUAUAAGGACAUUGUAAUCUAUUAACAACAGAUUUAUUAAAAGAUCAUUGCUUUAGUUUAUUCAAAUUAUUUUGCUUGCAAUUUAACAUAGAAUAAAUGCUUUUGAUUUGAUAAAGUGUUGAUAGAUUUAUUGUAUAUAGUGCUUGAAUAUAAUUCUAUAUUCUAUAAUAGCGUAUUGAUCAAUGAUUUUUAUGCUCAUUAUAUGCACUUAUAUGAUUAACAAUGCGAAAGAUUCAGGAUACCUUCGGGACCCGUCUUGAAACACGGACCAAGGAGUCUAACAUAUUUGCAAGUUAUUGGGAAUUAAAAACCUAAUAGCGAAAUUAACAUAACUUAUAUAAUGGGAUUAGUUUUUAGAUCUAUUUAUAGUCUAUUAAUUCAAUCCCGGGGCGUUCUAUACAGUUAUGUAUAAUAGUAUUUAUAUUAUUUAUACCUCUAACUAGAGCGUACCUUGAGCAUAUAUGCUGUGACCCGAAAGAUGGUGAACUAUACUUGAUCAGGUUGAAGUCAGGGGAAACCCUGAUGGAAGACCGAAACAGUUCUGACGUGCAAAUCGAUUGUCAGAAUUGAGU